Molecule: ribosomal RNA, 206 nt
Filed under: Pseudo-nitzschia fraudulenta
Lineage: Eukaryota; Bacillariophyta; Bacillariophyceae; Bacillariales; Bacillariaceae
Description: partial Bacterial small subunit ribosomal RNA
Rfam family: Bacterial small subunit ribosomal RNA
Source: RNAcentral
UCCGUGCCAGCAGCCGCGGUAAUACGGAGGGUGCAAGCGUUAUUCGGAAUUAUUGGGCGUAAAGAGCGCGUAGGCGGCUAUAUAAGUUAGAUGUGAAAUCCCAAGGCUUAACCUUGGAAGUGCAUUUGAAACUAUACAGCUUGAGUAUGAUAGAGGGAAGUGGAAUUCCUGGUGUAGAGGUGAAAUUCGUAGAUAUCAGGAGGAAC